UGGAUAAACCGGAAAACCUUCCCCGGUAUCAUCUUAAAUCACUGGAAAGCUUAAAGUGCUUUCUUCAUAAAGCCUUUUUUUAAAUUCAUGAUUUUUAAGUCCCACAAAAAUUUAAACAUAUGACAUCCUGUUUGUUAAAAAUAGAUCGGGCUUUAUUUCAAGAGAUCGCCAGAAGGCUUGGGAUCAUCAUCUGAAGAAAGAGA
This 203-nucleotide unclassified non-coding RNA is filed under the name uncultured Bartonella sp. RNAcentral's name for it is "partial 16S-23S ribosomal RNA intergenic spacer". Lineage: Bacteria; Pseudomonadati; Pseudomonadota; Alphaproteobacteria; Hyphomicrobiales; Bartonellaceae. The record is from RNAcentral.